Molecule: non-coding RNA, 73 nt
Organism: Mya arenaria
Lineage: Eukaryota; Metazoa; Mollusca; Bivalvia; Myida; Myidae
Source: the annotation of a RefSeq genome assembly
GGCCGGUUAGCUCAGUUGGUAGAGCAACUGACGUGCAAGCAGGAGGUCCUGGGUUCGAUCUCCAGACUGGCUG